UACAGAGGGUGCAAGCGUUGUUCGGAAUUACUGGGCGUAAAGCGUGCGCAGGCGGUUUUGUAAGUCUGUCGUGAAAUCCCCGGGCUCAACCUGGGAAUUGCGAUGGAGACUGCAAGGCUAGAAUCUGGCAGAGGGGGGUAGAAUUCCACGUGUGAGCAGUGAAAUGCGUAGAGAUGUGGAGGAACACCGAUGGCGAAGGCAGCCCCCUGGGUCAAGAUUGACGCUCAUGCACGAAAGCGUGGGGAGCAAACAGG
Molecule: ribosomal RNA, 254 nt
Filed under: uncultured bacterium
Lineage: Bacteria
Description: partial 16S ribosomal RNA
Rfam family: Bacterial small subunit ribosomal RNA
Source: RNAcentral